RNAcentral lists this ribosomal RNA (423 nucleotides) under uncultured bacterium. RNAcentral describes it as "bacterial SSU rRNA". It matches the Rfam family "Bacterial small subunit ribosomal RNA", at positions 29 to 441 of the family's 1533-position model. The record is from RNAcentral.
AACGAACGCUGGCGGCGCGCCUAAUACAUGCAAGUCGAACGAGAAGCUGUAGCAAUACAGUUGUACAGUGGCGAACGGGUGAGGAAUACAUGGGUGACCUACCCUCGAGUGGGGAAUAACCAGCCGAAAGGUUGGCUAAUACCGCGUACGCUUCCCAGUCUACGGGGUUGGGAAGGAAAGCGAUGCCGUGGGUAUCGCGCUCAAGGUUGGGCUCAUGUCCUAUCAGCUGUUGGUGGGGUAACGGCUCACCAAGGCAACGACGGGUAGCUGGUCUGAGAGGACGAUCAGCCACACUGGCACUGCGACACGGGCCAGACUCCUACGGGAGGCAGCAGUAAGGAAUAUUGCGCAAUGGGCGAAAAGCCUGACGCAGCGACGCCGCGUGGGGGAUGAAGGUCUUCGGAUUGUAAACCCCUUUCGGGA